Molecule: ribosomal RNA, 654 nt
Filed under: uncultured bacterium
Lineage: Bacteria
Description: bacterial SSU rRNA
Rfam family: Bacterial small subunit ribosomal RNA
Source: RNAcentral
GAAAGAUGGCUUUGGCUAUCACUCUGGGAUGGACCUGCGGUGCAUUAGCUAGUUGGUAAGGUAACGGCUUACCAAGGCGAUGAUGCAUAGCCGAGUUGAGAGACUGAUCGGCCACAAUGGAACUGAGACACGGUCCAUACUCCUACGGGAGGCAGCAGUAGGGAAUCUUCCACAAUGGGCGCAAGCCUGAUGGAGCAACACCGCGUGAGUGAAGAAGGGUUUCGGCUCGUAAAGCUCUGUUGUUGGAGAAGAACGUGCGUGAGAGUAACUGUUCACGCAGUGACGGUAUCCAACCAGAAAGUCACGGCUAACUACGUGCCAGCAGCCGCGGUAAUACGUAGGUGGCAAGCGUUAUCCGGAUUUAUUGGGCGUAAAGCGAGCGCAGGCGGUUGCUUAGGUCUGAUGUGAAAGCCUUCGGCUUAACCGAAGAAGUGCAUCGGAAACCGGGCGACUUGAGUGCAGAAGAGGACAGUGGAACUCCAUGUGUAGCGGUGGAGUGCGUAGAUAUAUGGAAGAACACCAGUGGCGAAGGCGGCUGUCUGGUCUGCAACUGACGCUGAGGCUCGAAAGCAUGGGUAGCGAACAGGAUUAGAUACCCUGGUAGUCCAUGCCGUAAACGAUGAGUGCUAGGUGUUGGAGGGUUUCCGCCCUUCA